GAUGAACGCUGGCGGCGUGCCUAAUACAUGCAAGUCGAGCGAACGGACGAGAAGCUUGCUUCUCUGAUGUUAGCGGCGGACGGGUGAGUAACACGUGGAUAACCUACCUAUAAGACUGGGAUAACUUCGGGAAACCGGAGCUAAUACCGGAUGAUAUUUUGAACCGCAGGGUUCAAAAGUGAAGGACGGUCUUGCUGUCACUUAUAGAUGGAUCCGCGCUGCAUUAGCUAGUUGGUAAGGUAACGGCUUACCAAGGCAACGAUGCAUAGCCGACCUGAGAGGGUGAUCGGCCACACUGGAACUGAGACACGGUCCAGACUCCUACGGGAGGCAGCAGUAGGGAAUCUUCCGCAAUGGGCGAAAGCCUGACGGAGCAACGCCGCGUGAGUGAUGAAGGUCUUCGGAUCGUAAAACUCUGUUAUUAGGGAAGAACAUAUGUGUAAGUAACUGUGCACAUCUUGACGGUACCUAAUCAGAAAGCCACGGCUAACUACGUG
RNAcentral lists this ribosomal RNA (497 nucleotides) under uncultured bacterium. RNAcentral's name for it is "partial 16S ribosomal RNA". It matches the Rfam family "Bacterial small subunit ribosomal RNA", at positions 28 to 507 of the family's 1533-position model. The record is from RNAcentral.